Molecule: non-coding RNA, 620 nt
Organism: Desulfotomaculum sp. 46_80
Lineage: Bacteria; Bacillati; Bacillota; Clostridia; Eubacteriales; Desulfotomaculaceae
Source: Rfam
UGUAUUUAAAAGGUAAGUGAUUCAGUAUCCUAGUCGGGGAUAUCUUUUUUGAAGGCGGGCCUAAAAAUCCGUCAAGGGCACAUCGAUGAAGUUCCUGGUGCUGGCUACCAGCGCCCAGCCGGGGGCUGGUACUGGGAGUUAAGGCAGUGGGGCGAUCUGUAAUGGCAUGCAGGCGUUGACCCCGCUGCCGUGGAGACCCAAGUUUGUGGGGAUGCCGGCCUGUUCAGGGUUUGCUUAACUAUGGCUUGGGGUGUGAACCUGCAUGUGGUAGGCAGCUGCGUGCAGUGUAGCCUGCCUUGAGUGGCAGCGGUGGAUGCCGCUUGAAGAAGCGGCUGUGGGCACGGGCCCGUGCCCGGCAUGCUUAAGGCUGAAACCGUUGGUGCAAAAGAGGCUAGAGAAAGACCACCCGCGGAGGAAAACUCCUAGGCUGAUCGGUAAAUACCGGGACAGCACGGGGAUUAAAGUGUGGACUAAGUGGUAAUUCAGUCCUGGGCUUUGCCCAGAGGCAGGCUGAAAGGGAAACCACCGGGUUGGCGACAACCGGCGUCCCGCCUGGGAAAACCUACUGGACCUAAGCCACAAUAUUUACCCGUGCUGUUAUCACUUACCCUCCUUUUAGG